CCUACGGGGAGCAGCAGUGAGGAAUAUUGGUCAAUGGACGGAAGUCUGAACCAGCCAUGCCGCGUGCAGGAAGACGGCUCUAUGAGUUGUAAACUGCUUUUGUACAAGGGUAAACCUGAAUACGUGUAUUCAGCUGAAAGUACUGUACGAAUAAGGAUCGGCUAACUCCGUGCCAGCAGCCGCGGUAAUACGGAGGAUCCAAGCGUUAUCCGGAUUUAUUGGGUUUAAAGGGUGCGUAGGCGGAUUGAUAAGUUAGAGGUGAAAUGUCCGAGCUUAACUCGGGAACUGCCUCUAAUACGGUUGAUCUAGAGAGUAGAUGCGGUAGGCGGAAUGUAUGGUGUAGCGGUGAAAGGCUUAGAGAUCAUACAGAACACCGAUUGCGAAGGCAGCUUACCAAUCUAUAUCUGACGUUGAGGCACGAAAGCGUGGGGAGCAAACAGGAUUAGAUACCCUAGUAGUC
This 460-nucleotide ribosomal RNA is filed under the name uncultured bacterium. RNAcentral's name for it is "partial 16S ribosomal RNA". It matches the Rfam family "Bacterial small subunit ribosomal RNA", at positions 338 to 795 of the family's 1533-position model. The record is from RNAcentral.